Molecule: ribosomal RNA, 1515 nt
Filed under: Klebsiella pneumoniae
Lineage: Bacteria; Pseudomonadati; Pseudomonadota; Gammaproteobacteria; Enterobacterales; Enterobacteriaceae
Description: bacterial SSU rRNA
Rfam family: Bacterial small subunit ribosomal RNA
Source: RNAcentral
AGAGUUUGAUCAUGGCUCAGAUUGAACGCUGGCGGCAGGCCUAACACAUGCAAGUCGAGCGGUAGCACAGAGAGCUUGCUCUCGGGUGACGAGCGGCGGACGGGUGAGUAAUGUCUGGGAAACUGCCUGAUGGAGGGGGAUAACUACUGGAAACGGUAGCUAAUACCGCAUAACGUCGCGAGACCAAAGUGGGGGACCUUCGGGCCUCAUGCCAUCAGAUGUGCCCAGAUGGGAUUAGCUAGUAGGUGGGGUAACGGCUCACCUAGGCGACGAUCCCUAGCUGGUCUGAGAGGAUGACCAGCCACACUGGAACUGAGACACGGUCCAGACUCCUACGGGAGGCAGCAGUGGGGAAUAUUGCACAAUGGGCGCAAGCCUGAUGCAGCCAUGCCGCGUGUGUGAAGAAGGCCUUCGGGUUGUAAAGCACUUUCAGCGGGGAGGAAGGCGNNNNNNCGAUUGACGUUACCCGCAGAAGAAGCACCGGCUAACUCCGUGCCAGCAGCCGCGGUAAUACGGAGGGUGCAAGCGUUAAUCGGAAUUACUGGGCGUAAAGCGCACGCAGGCGGUCUGUCAAGUCGGAUGUGAAAUCCCCGGGCUCAACCUGGGAACUGCAUUCGAAACUGGCAGGCUAGAGUCUUGUAGAGGGGGGUAGAAUUCCAGGUGUAGCGGUGAAAUGCGUAGAGAUCUGGAGGAAUACCGGUGGCGAAGGCGGCCCCCUGGACAAAGACUGACGCUCAGGUGCGAAAGCGUGGGGAGCAAACAGGAUUAGAUACCCUGGUAGUCCACGCCGUAAACGAUGUCGAUUUGGAGGUUGUGCCCUUGAGGCGUGGCUUCCGGAGCUAACGCGUUAAAUCGACCGCCUGGGGAGUACGGCCGCAAGGUUAAAACUCAAAUGAAUUGACGGGGGCCCGCACAAGCGGUGGAGCAUGUGGUUUAAUUCGAUGCAACGCGAAGAACCUUACCUGGUCUUGACAUCCACAGAACUUUCCAGAGAUGGAUUGGUGCCUUCGGGAACUGUGAGACAGGUGCUGCAUGGCUGUCGUCAGCUCGUGUUGUGAAAUGUUGGGUUAAGUCCCGCAACGAGCGCAACCCUUAUCCUUUGUUGCCAGCGGUUAGGCCGGGAACUCAAAGGAGACUGCCAGUGAUAAACUGGAGGAAGGUGGGGAUGACGUCAAGUCAUCAUGGCCCUUACGACCAGGGCUACACACGUGCUACAAUGGCAUAUACAAAGAGAAGCGACCUCGCGAGAGCAAGCGGACCUCAUAAAGUAUGUCGUAGUCCGGAUUGGAGUCUGCAACUCGACUCCAUGAAGUCGGAAUCGCUAGUAAUCGUAGAUCAGAAUGCUACGGUGAAUACGUUCCCGGGCCUUGUACACACCGCCCGUCACACCAUGGGAGUGGGUUGCAAAAGAAGUAGGUAGCUUAACCUUCGGGAGGGCGCUUACCACUUUGUGAUUCAUGACUGGGGUGAAGUCGUAACAAGGUAACCGUAGGGGAACCUGCGGUUGGAUCACCU